Molecule: ribosomal RNA, 253 nt
Filed under: uncultured bacterium
Lineage: Bacteria
Description: partial 16S ribosomal RNA
Rfam family: Bacterial small subunit ribosomal RNA
Source: RNAcentral
UACGGAGGGUGCAAGCAUUAAUCGGAUUUAUUGGGCGUAAAGGGGGCGUAGGCGGACUUGCAAGCCAGACGUGAAAGCCCAGGGCUCAACCCUGGGACUGCGUUUGGAACUACAAAUCUAGAGGAUAGGCGGAGAAAACGGAAUUCCACAAGUAGCGGUGAAAUGCGUAGAUAUGUGGAAGAACACCGGUGGCGAAGGCGGUUUUCUAGCUUAUUCCUGACGCUGAGGCCCGAAAGCUAGGGGAGCAAACAGG